GCGCUGCCUUUGAGCCCCUGCUGUGCCUGCCCAGGCACAUGGGGGGGGAGGGUUUGGGGGGUUGUCAGCCGACAGCUCCAGAGCGCAUGCUUGCGCAUAACUGAGGCCCUCUGUUCCCCUUUAAACCACAAACAAGGCAG
This is a small nucleolar RNA of Pteropus vampyrus (large flying fox), 140 nucleotides long. NCBI's taxonomy places the organism in Eukaryota, Metazoa, Chordata, Mammalia, Chiroptera, Pteropodidae. The record is from Ensembl.